AGUAAAAAGAGAAACCGGCAAUGAUUAAGCCCAAGAAGCUUUCUCUUUCUUUUUUUUUUUCGAAAUAAAACGAAAAUUGAAAAACAAUAAUAUUUUCAAACGUGUUUUAAAAUAUUAAUUUUUAAAAAUAGAAAAAUAAAAUUAUUAAUUAUGCAGCAAUUAAAAUGUAAUUUUUCCUUCUCUGUUUUUGAGGUAGUCUAAAUGUGCAAAAACAGCGGGCCUUCCUAUCUCUUUCAUUUCACAGCAGCCCUAGCCGCCCAUCUGAGUCAUUUUACAAUUGCCUUAGCCGCACACCCGACUUCUUCCCUCAAUCCUUCGGUUUCUUCUUGGGUGUUCCUUCUUCGGUCGUUCCUAGGUUCCAGCAUUUCUCAUUCGACACACAGAUCUGCCGCGAUCUCACUUCUCAGACUACAUUUUUUCUUUGGCUUGUUCUCUUACGCAUUAUCAGCAGAUCGAAGUGUAAUGAGUUCACUUGGAUAUGAUGGUUGGGUGGUAGUUUCAAGUUUGAUAUACAAUCACUCUUUUUCAGUGGAUGUUGAAUUCUAAACCUAUUGUAGGCCUGUAGUAAAUACCUUAGGUCCCUAUAAGCUUAAUUGGGUUUCAGUUACUUUUUUAUGAUAGUGUAGUAUUUGGCUGUUUAAAGAUAUGUUAAGUGUUGAAUUACAUUGAUAUUUAAUUGGUCUCUAUGUUCCCUGUUUUUUAUCAUGCAAAAUUAUUAUUCUCUAAAGAUAAGAAAAAUAGCAGAUCAGUUGGUUGGUGAGUUGUUCUAUAACAAAUCUGGAGCUUGGGAUUCUUGUUGAUAUAAGUUGCUUUAUUUUCAGAAAAUAUUAGCUAUUGUGAAAUGGUAGUUUUUUUCCCUUGUAACAUCAUAAAAACAACAUAAUUUUUGGGGGCCAUUUGACUUUAUGUAGGAUGAGGUGGUUGAUAUUUUGGUUUGCUACAUUUAUUCGACUGUUUCUGAUUCGUAAAAGGGUCGAGUAUUGUAUGUUUUUUGAAUCAAAUCGUAUAGGUCAGAUACAACUCUUUGGCUUGGGUGUGUUUAUUUUGCAAAAGAUAAUUUCUUUAAGUUAAGUAUAGGUUUCUUUUAAGUUUCUUUAAGUCACACUUAUAGAUUUGAUUGGUUACAAGCUUUCUAUGGGACAAAGAGAAAGAAAAAUAAGUACAAUAAUAUAUUGUAUUUCAGUCUUCAAUAGGAAAUGGUAGGAUACAAUUAACUUUUAUAAUUUGUUUGUUAUUGUUAAAAGACAAAGAGGGUAUUCAAGAAGUCAUACUACCUUAGUGGUUUGGAACUCUUCUACAUUCAAUUUUCAAGUAUUAUUGAUAUAUUUUUCUUGUGGGUUUAAA
Molecule: long non-coding RNA, 1344 nt
Organism: Hevea brasiliensis (rubber tree)
Lineage: Eukaryota; Viridiplantae; Streptophyta; Magnoliopsida; Malpighiales; Euphorbiaceae
Exons: 2
Source: RefSeq, a predicted model, not a curated record